GAUGAAGAACGUAGCAAAAUGCGAUAAGUAAUGUGAAUUGCAGAAUUCAGUGAAUCAUCGAAUCUUUGAACGCACAUUGCGCCCGCCAGUAUUCUGGCGGGCAUGCCUGUUCGAGCGUCAUUUCAACCAUCAAGCCCCAGGCUUGUGUUGGGGACCUGCGGCUGCCGCAGGCCCUGAAAACCAGUGGCGGGCUCGCUAGUCACACCGAGCGUAGUAGCAUACACAUCGCUCAGGGCGUGCUGCGGGUUCCGGCCGUUAAACCCCUUUUUUACCCAAGGUUGACCUCGGAUCAGGUAGGAAGACCCGCUGAACUUAAGCAUAUCAAUAAGCGGAGGA
RNAcentral lists this unclassified non-coding RNA (336 nucleotides) under soil metagenome. RNAcentral describes it as "partial contains 5.8S ribosomal RNA, internal transcribed spacer 2, and large subunit ribosomal RNA". The stretch from base 1 to 120 matches the Rfam family "5.8S ribosomal RNA", at positions 35 to 154 of the family's 154-position model. The record is from RNAcentral.